Molecule: ribosomal RNA, 422 nt
Filed under: uncultured bacterium
Lineage: Bacteria
Description: bacterial SSU rRNA
Rfam family: Bacterial small subunit ribosomal RNA
Source: RNAcentral
UGAGGAAUAUUGGACAAUGGGUGAGAGCCUGAUCCAGCCAUCCCGCGUGAAGGACUACAGCCCUAUGGGUUUUAAACUUCUUUUGUAUGGGGAUAAACCUACCCUCGUGAGGGUAGCUGAAGGUACCAUACGAAUAAGCAUCGGCUAACUCCGUGCCAGCAGCCGCGGUAAUACGGAGGAUGCGAGCGUUAUCCGGAUUUAUUGGGUUUAAAGGGUCCGUAGGCGGGCUAGUAAGUCAGCGGUGAAAUCCUACAGCUUAACUGUAGACCUGCCGUUGAUACUGCGAGUCUUGAAUAGUAUUGAAGUAGCCGGAAUGUGUAGUGUAGCGGUGAAAUGCAUAGAUAUUACACAGAACACCAAUUGCGAAGGCAGGUUACUAAAUACCGAUUGACGCUGAUGGACGAAAGCGUGGGGAGCGAACA